This 432-nucleotide ribosomal RNA is filed under the name uncultured Methylobacterium sp. Its description in RNAcentral is "bacterial SSU rRNA". It matches the Rfam family "Bacterial small subunit ribosomal RNA", at positions 958 to 1391 of the family's 1533-position model. Lineage: Bacteria; Pseudomonadati; Pseudomonadota; Alphaproteobacteria; Hyphomicrobiales; Methylobacteriaceae. The record is from RNAcentral.
CAAGAUAAGAACCUUACCAUCCCUUGACAUGUCGUGCCAUCCGGAGAGAUCCGGGGUUCCCUUCGGGGACGCGAACACAGGUGCUGCAUGGCUGUCGUCAGCUCGUGUCGUGAGAUGUUGGGUUAAGUCCCGCAACGAGCGCAACCCACGUCCUUAGUUGCCAUCAUUCAGUUGGGCACUCUAGGGAGACUGCCGGUGAUAAGCCGCGAGGAAGGUGUGGAUGACGUCAAGUCCUCAUGGCCCUUACGGGAUGGGCUACACACGUGCUACAAUGGCGGUGACAGUGGGACGCGAAACCGCGAGGUCGAGCAAAUCCCCAAAAACCGUCUCAGUUCAGAUUGCACUCUGCAACUCGAGUGCAUGAAGGCGGAAUCGCUAGUAAUCGUGGAUCAGCAUGCCACGGUGAAUACGUUCCCGGGCCUUGUACACACC